AGGAUGAACGCUGGCGGCGUGCUUAACACAUGCAAGUCGAACGGUGAACUUGGGAGCUUGCUCUCGGGGGAUCAGUGGCGAACGGGUGAGUAACACGUGAGUAACCUGCCCUUGACUCUGGGAUAAGCACUGGAAACGGUGUCUAAUACCGGAUAUGAGCUUCAGCCGCAUGGCUAGGAGCUGGAAAGAAUUUCGGUCAAGGAUGGACUCGCGGCCUAUCAGGUAGUUGGUGAGGUAAAGGCUCACCAAGCCGACGACGGGUAGCCGGCCUGAGAGGGUGACCGGCCACACUGGGACUGAGACACGGCCCAGACUCCUACGGGAGGCAGCAGUGGGGAAUAUUGCACAAUGGGCGCAAGCCUGAUGCAGCAACGCCGCGUGAGGGACGAAGGCCUUCGGGUUGUAAACCUCUUUUAGUAGGGAAGAAGCGAAAGUGACGGUACCUGCAGAAAAAGCACCGGCUAACUACGUGCCAGC
This 477-nucleotide ribosomal RNA is filed under the name Frigoribacterium sp. o3. RNAcentral describes it as "bacterial SSU rRNA". It matches the Rfam family "Bacterial small subunit ribosomal RNA", at positions 26 to 512 of the family's 1533-position model. Lineage: Bacteria; Bacillati; Actinomycetota; Actinomycetes; Micrococcales; Microbacteriaceae. The record is from RNAcentral.